GACGAACGCUGGCGGCGUGCUUAACACAUGCAAGUCAAACGGAAAGGCCCUGCUUUUGUGGGGUGCUCGAGUGGCGAACGGGUGAGUAACACGUGAGUAACCUGCCCUUGACUUUGGGAUAACUUCAGGAAACUGGGGCUAAUACCGGAUAGGAGCUCCUGCUGCAUGGUGGGGGUUGGAAAGUUUCGGCGGUUGGGGAUGGACUCGCGGCUUAUCAGCUUGUUGGUGGGGUAGUGGCUUACCAAGGCUUUGACGGGUAGCCGGCCUGAGAGGGUGACCGGCCACAUUGGGACUGAGAUACGGCCCAGACUCCUACGGGAGGCAGCAGUGGGGAAUAUUACACAAUGGGCGGAAGCCUGAUGCAGCAACGCCGCGUGCGGGAUGACGGCCUUCGGGUUGUAAACCGCUUUCGCCUGUGACGAAGCGUGAGUGACGGUAAUGGGUAAAGAAGCACCGGCUAACUACGUG
RNAcentral lists this ribosomal RNA (468 nucleotides) under uncultured bacterium. Its description in RNAcentral is "partial 16S ribosomal RNA". It matches the Rfam family "Bacterial small subunit ribosomal RNA", at positions 28 to 507 of the family's 1533-position model. The record is from RNAcentral.